ACGCUCUGCCGCCAGGAGUGGCAGGAGGCAGGCUGAGUGAAAUGAGCUGCUCCUGUUCCCGCCCACGAAGGGGGUUAAGGUGAAGGGAACAAUCCUGUCUCAUCUGGGGGCCUGUCCAGGAUAUGAAAAACAAGUAUCACUGCAUCACCCAGGCUGGAGCACAGUGGUGCAACCUCGGCUCACUGCAAGCUCUGCCUCCUGGGUUCGAGUGAUUCAUGUGCCUCAGCCUUCCAAGUAGCUGGAAUUACAGACUCUACCCAACAACAACAAAAUACACAUUUUCUUCAGGUUGACCAAGAGCAUUAACCAAGAGUAAUCAAAAAGAGGAGCCGACUAGACACAGCCAGGAAGAGUUUCUCCCACCGGGAGACCAGACCAGCAAGAAAACUGGCACCCUCCAAGCAGGUUGUUGAAAGGAAGGCAUUGAAUGUGGGCAGAGGGUGAUGCAGAUGAGGAAAGACUAGAAGGUUCUGUACCUGUUAACUGUGGCUGAUCCUAGAAGAGUGAAAUUUAGGCAGGUAGUUGGAAAGAACACAGCACAGAAAGCUUUAGGAUGAAUUUUCCUAGCAGCCAUUCUGUAUCGUCAAAGCCUUCAAUCCCUGAGGAGAGAGUUAAUGGCACACAGGAGUGGGGUGAUUUGGGCAAUGAGUGCUUCUUCCUUUCAACCUGUUGCUACCUAACACAAGGACAAUUGGUCUUCCACCCUCUUCACAGUUCAUUCAGUCAUUGUUCCUGUCUCCCAGGUGAGUUGAGUGAAAAUAACGGUGACAAGAAGCCCACUGCCUGAUUCACACAAGCAAGGCAUGCUGCAGGGAAGACAGGGUUCUUAUUAAUAUUUUCUUUCAUGUGCUUACAUAUGAGUUAUAGUUGCUAAUCCUUUCCCACAGUUUAGCACCUAGUUAAAAGAAAGGGCUUCGGAAUCAGGUAAGUGUAGAUUAAAGUUAUAACGGCAAAUUGCUGAACCUUUGGAAGCCUCGGUUUUUCCAUCUGGAAAAUGGAUUUUUAUCUUACAGGACUGUCGUGAGGAUUGAUGAGCUAACAUUCCUAAAUCAGGGAGUUUGAAGUCUGGCCCAGGAACUUCUAGAUUUUGACGUUCUCCGUGUCUUUGAUGUGUACCCCUGGGAGAAACAAAGGGCGAGAAGAAACAAGGGAAAGGAGAAACAUUUGUGUUUUCCAGGUUUUCAGUGUUGAUCAGCCAGCGGGAAUAAAGAGAAGAUGUGUAAGGGGGAGGGCAAAAGAGAUUCCCAGAAGCUGCUGCAGAUCUCUUCAGGUUGCAUUUCAAAAGCCAUUACUUAAGUGUAUAUUCACACCUAGCUGCAAGAAAGGCUGGGAUUGUAUUCUGUGUUCUGGGCAGUAAUGUGUCUAGCUGAGCACUGGAGUUUUAUCAAUAAGGAAGAAGGUAUUUUCCUCCUUUCCUGAAAUAAUGUAUAGUUCUGACCAAGUGAGAAGAAUCACAAGAAUAUGGGAUUUUGAAAAACACGAAAACAUCCUAAGAAAUACCAGGAAGGAGGCCCACAGUGAAACACAAAUGAAACUCAAGGCAACUGCCUACAUUUUUGGCUAAAAUAAAAAAUCAUAGAUCUUAGGACAAAGGGGGCAAGGAACUAAAUCAAAGGACAAAGCUGAAGACCAAGUGGACUGAAAAGAAGAUGGAAUACAUUUUCCCAAACACUGGUGUUCUCUGGAGUUGGCUUAUCAACAUCUUGUGUAAUAGUCAUAUAAUUGUCCCUCAUUUCUAUCUCCUCCUAAAACUAGAGAAAUGGCCUAUUAAUUUUAGAAGGUGUAUAAUUAUCACAAAGCCCUCAGAUUAAGGUCCAGGACACAGAGUGGAAUAUAUGAGCACACAGAAAUGUAUACCUUUAGAUUGAACUUGGAUGAUUUGCCUUUUGCCUGUCACCACCAGCAAAUCCUGAAAUUGGAUCUCUUGAAACUUACGGUUUUCCUUCAGCAGCAUAGGAGUUAAGUUUUCUUCUAGCUUGCCCUAGGUUCUCUCAGGAACUGGGAAAGCAGUUCUCCCAAAUCCCAAGUUAAGUUAUUCAAGACAAUAUAAGGCAGAGCUAAAUUCUUCUGUUGAAGAAUUUAACAUGACUCAAACCAUAAGGAAAUCUAAAGAAGGCUGCCAAACUAUUUCACUGCUUCCCUCCCCCACUAAAAGAGAUAAAAAUGUUAGAUUUACAAAGCAAACUACAGUGUAUGGAAUAUAUAUAUAUCUCUAUAUAUAUAGAUAUAUAUACACACACACAAUUUUUUUAACCUACCACUUUGUCUUAUUUGCAUGAGCACAAAUUGCUUUCAACUUAAUGCCAGAGAAAAAGGCAACAUUCCCCGUGAUGACUUGCUGAAAAGCUCACUGUAUUUGUUUGAUAAUGGAUUUUAGUUCAUUGUCAUGUACUUCACUCUUCAUCAGCAGGAGCACUUCAGGGUAAAGAAACAGGCUUUUACCACACUGGAACAAAAGCUAUAUAAGGAAAAAAAAAUCCUGAGCAGAUGGAAUAUUAUUUGCAUUUGCACAAAUAGUGCUUUUUAGCACAAUUCAUAUUACUCCAUUGUGAGCUAAAGUAAGCCAGAUGUGUCUACAGCAUGCUGCAGACGCAGAAUCGGCUUUUUGUUUGUUAGACUCAGAGGUCCUAACCUUAUGAUAUCUUCGUACUUGUAUAUCCAUUAGUUUUAUUUCAGUUACUUAUCAGAAAGGAAAAGAAAAAAAUGGCACUAUGCAGUUAAGAGGAGCAUUGCAUGGAGGGCUAAAUUAACUAUUUUUUAUUUUCAUGAAUGAGGAUCAAAUAGGUUUCAGAUGUCUCAACAUCUAUCUGGAGAUCUAGAUGAUGAUAUAAAAUUAAAAUGCAGAAUGUGAGUGUAAUAAAAUUUGUUUCUCCAUGAUUACAUUAAA
RNAcentral lists this small RNA (2887 nucleotides) under Pongo abelii (Sumatran orangutan). RNAcentral's name for it is "processed transcript". Lineage: Eukaryota; Metazoa; Chordata; Mammalia; Primates; Hominidae. The record is from RNAcentral.